This 256-nucleotide ribosomal RNA is filed under the name uncultured bacterium. Its description in RNAcentral is "partial 16S ribosomal RNA". It matches the Rfam family "Bacterial small subunit ribosomal RNA", at positions 524 to 777 of the family's 1533-position model. The record is from RNAcentral.
UACGGAGGGUGCGAGCGUUAUCCGGAUUUACUGGGUUUAAAGGGUGUGUAGGCGGGCUGGUAAGUCAGGGGUGAAAUCCCGGAGCUCAACUCCGGAACUGCCUUUGAUACUACUGGUCUUGAAUAUUGUUGAGGUGGGCGGAAUGUGUCAUGUAGCGGUGAAAUGCAUAGAUAUGACACAGAACACCGAUUGCGAAGGCAGCUCACUGGGCAAUGAUUGACGCUGAGGCACGAAAAGCGUGGGGAGUCAAACAGGA